Molecule: ribosomal RNA, 468 nt
Filed under: uncultured bacterium
Lineage: Bacteria
Description: partial 16S ribosomal RNA
Rfam family: Bacterial small subunit ribosomal RNA
Source: RNAcentral
GACGAACGCUGGCGGCGUGCUUAACACAUGCAAGUCGAACGGAAAGGCCCUGCUGUUGUGGGGUGCUCGAGUGGCGAACGGGUGUGUAACACGUGAGUAACCUGCCCUUGACUGUGGGAUAACUUCAGGAAACUGGGGCUAAUCCCGGAUAGGAGCUCCUGCUGCAUGGUGGGGGUUGGAAAGUUUCGGCGGUUGGGGAGGGACUCGCGGGUUAUCAGAUUGUUGGGGGGGUAGUGGAUUACCAAGGCUUUGACGGGUAGCCGGCCUGAGAGGGGGACCGGGCACAUAGGGAGUGUGAUACGGGGCAGAUGCCUCCGGGAGGCAGAAGUGGGGAGUAUUGCACAAUGGGGGGACGCCUGUGGCAGAACAGUCGCGUGCGGGAGGACGGCCUUUGGGUAUUAUACCGCUUUUGCCUGAGACGAAGCGUGAGUGACGGUAAUGGGUGAAGAAGCAACGGCUAACUACGUG